UUUACGUGUGACAGUGGUGUAAGCAGUUAAUCCUGCUUGAAAGUCUUUGUUAAAAAUGUUAGACUCCAGUGAAAAGUUGUAUAAAAUUAAGUACUAUUAAGUGUUUUAUUCCCUGUGUCGUUUUGGACGUGAAGCAAACCAAAUAUUUCAUUUUUCAUGUAACGGGCAAUCUUGCAAGCUAUGCAAGCUGCCAAUUCCAAACUGUCACAAAUUGCUCUGUCAAAGAACUAUGACCUUAGCAUUCCAUCACGCUACUCUGUUGCUCUAUUUAGAGCUUUGUAAAACUUACAACGGAAGACAUACUAACCAGUGGGAAGGUCACCAAUGAUAGAACCAACACACCACUGUCUCAUUUGACUACCCUUUGCCUAGUCAUCAGAAACAGCUUUAAUCUGACUAGUGCAUCGUGUCCCUCUUUGUUUGGAUUCCAAUGAUUAACCACUACCAACCAACUUACAUAGAAAUGGACAUCACAGCCAGUCCUGUUUGGUCUGCUGAGCCUUCUCCUUCAGCAAAAUUACCAGCCCAACAACUUUUGCGUCUUUGGACAACAGGAACUAUGCCAUCAUCUUCUGUUCCACGCAAAAUUGAAUCAAAAUUCUAAGUUUUGCCCGUUCUUCACUUCAUAAUCCUUCGUCGCCUGGCUUUUCGCCCCGUCCGUCGCCUCGCCUGUAGCCGUCUUCGCCUCGCCCGUCGCCUUGCCCAUCGCCUCGCCCGUCGCCCCGUCUUCGCCUCUCCCGUCGCCUCGCCCGUCGUCGUCGCCCUGUCAUCGCCUCGUGGUCACGCCGUCUACGCCUCCCCUAUCGCCCCUUCAUCACCUCGUGGUCGCCUCGUCUUCGUGGUAUGGUUGUGUUUUGUUUUAUGUUGUAUUAUGUUUUGCAAACUAACACGUUGGCUGCCACCCACCCACUUUGAUCCCCUUUUUUUUUGUAGCUUGACAGGGACGGGCCGCGCUGUUCUGCUCCAUGGUCUAUCUGCCAUGGGGUGGAGCAGCGCCACUGCCCAAGAUUGGCCGAAUGGCCCCUAGGCAACGCACCACAGGGAAUUCCCUUUUUCGAUGCGGCUGAUGAGACCUGGGGUGUGCGUUCCCAAAAAGGUCUCAUCGCCGUGUCAGCCCGGCCUACCCGGCCCCCUUGGUCGCUAUCCCUAGGAUAGCGACACUAGCGACAGUAGAAAAUGGUGGCGUGGCAGCCAACGUGUUAGUUUAAG
Daphnia carinata is the source of this 1209-nucleotide long non-coding RNA. RefSeq lists it as uncharacterized. Lineage: Eukaryota; Metazoa; Arthropoda; Branchiopoda; Diplostraca; Daphniidae. The record is from RefSeq and is a predicted model, not a curated record. The transcript is spliced from 4 exons.